CGCCACCCAGGCGCGCGGUGGGCAGCCCCGACCCGGAAGUGGGCCUGGCGGCCCCCUUCGGUUGCUAAGCAACGCCGGCGCCCCAGCCUCGGUCCUUCCCGGUGCAGAAAACAACAAGCCUCAAGCCUGCACCAAGCCUGCUGUGCAUCAACUGUGACGAGCCUGGAGUUGUAACUUCAGUCCUGGAUGCAAGACUGAAAGUGCUUGAUGCCAACCUGAGACAGGUAACAGUUCAGAGUAUGACAUAUCUAAGGGGACAUUCAAGUGUACAAUCAAGUAGAAGAAAGGAUCCAGACCUUAGACCAAAGAGGAGCACAGUGUUAGAAAUAUGGGCAUCUUCUCCAGAACCUCAAUAGUUUGCCUGGCAUUUCUGUAUGUCUGGUCAUCAGCUCUGUAUCUGAUAGUAGUUUUACUGAGGAACUUCAUUAACUGCUUUUGCCAGUGAAAUGCUUUUGCAAGUGAACAGUGUUAUUACUUAACCUUUCUCCUUGGACCUUUAUACACUACACACCUGCCGGUAACAGUGGAAAUGGUUCAGUUCUUCAUACUGUAGUGAAGACACACUCAGAAACCACACUGAAGAACUACUCUGUUACUAGGAGAAGCACUAUCCUUCUCUGCAAUAGGCACAAACACCAACAUAACAAAAUAAAUAUAUUUAGCAAAAUGAAGCAAGCAAGAAAAGCACAGCACCAGGGAAGAGACACACAGUAGAAUUUGCAGUCCUAGGUAACCAGAGUAUUUUCCUCCUACUCCUCUUCAUUGGGAAUGCCUGUUCCAACGUGAGCCUAUUUCACAAGCAUUUUGAGGAACCCACUUCUCUCAGACAUCCUAGAGAGCAUAUAUUCUCCAAACAACCUUUCAAAAGCACAUAUAGAAAAUGAACAUUAAAAGGGUAUGAGAAGAACUCAAGAUGUAACAACUACCUCAGAAAAAAACCCUUACACUAGGAUUUUAAGAAAGUUGCCUGGUCCACAGAUCAGGCCUACCUCCCCCUGUUUGAGUCCUACCAAACAGAUCUGAGAGAAUGCACUAUUUCCUUAGGACAGCAUCAUCAUUUGCACACCUCUUUAAUGGGAUCUUUCUUUAGUGGAAGAAGAUAAGAGGUAUGAUUGUAUCUACUAAAUUACUGUUAGGGUAGCCACAGGCUUGAAGAGUUGGGUUGUCUUUUACCAAUUCCUCAAUACACAAGUCUUUCAAAUAACUUAAAAAUAGUCACACUGCUUACAGCAAUCAAAACAUGAAACAGAGUCCUCAAAAUGAGAUAGUCUGUGUUUUCUCAAAAAAAUCUAAGACAACUAGGAGGAAGACAUUAAUCUCAGUGGUUGCACCAAGGAAGACUAAUGCAGAAAUGGAUUUAUAUUUUCCUUCUUAAACAAAAUAAAUACAGAAAGUACAUACAAGUAGCCAAAGAAAUAUCACAGAUGAGAAAGGCUUCCCCCAUCCUCUUCUCACAGUGUAAAACAGUCCUUUCCAUGUAACAGCUAAGUCAGAAGCAUAUGCCACUGAGAAUGGAACUUCAUAGACAAGCUCAUGACAGGACAAAGCAAGGUUUGCUCAGUCUCUUAGGGAUCAGUGAUUUGCUGUGAGGGUGAUACAACCCACGGCUCAACAGCACUGUUUUGUAAACAAUAAAACUAAAUGCUUCCUUCUGUGCCGUGUGGCUGCCCACAAGUGCUGCUUUCCUACCCUGCCAACAGGACAUUCCACUAAUUCAGAUAGCAGCACUUCUGAAGAGGCAGAGAUUCCUCUCUGCUGCUGACAAUAACUAUAUGUGUUUCUGAAGUCAUUGCUGAUAACUUCUGGAUGUGCCCUUCCCAAUUCUAAAACCCUUUAGGCAAACACCAGAAGAGGGAACAAAUGACAGACACUAUAUGAAAAGAGCACUAGCUAAGAAAUUCUGGAAAAUUUAAUCUUCUCCAUCCCUAUCUAACAGAAAAUGAGUAACAUCAACAGAGAAAAUGGAUGGCCAGCAGCUCAGCGUACAAUGCUUUUAAGCAUUUAAGACUGAUAGGGUCCAUAACCCAACCUUUGUUACCUUUACUGCCGGAGGCCUGGGAUGACUCUAGCCACUCUGAAAUUUGAGAGGAAAACCCACGUUGGCACUUUUUGCUGAUAUACCUCUACUGCCUGCUGGUGAUGGCGGCCAAGUUCUCAAAUAGCUUGGGCCAUCCCUUCUGCUGCCUGAAAUAAGGGAAGCCGAUGUACACAUUUAAACAUGUCAUUCACUAAGGAAAGGGCAGUGACACAUACAAACUGUUACAUGACACCGAGCAGGUCACAAGUGAUCAUGGAAGCCUAGGCUUUGUAUGUCAACCAUCUAGCAUAAUGGUAGCCUGUUCUCUCACAAUCCCAAUUUUGUUUGAGAUCAAGCUUCUCUACAUUCAUCUUAAAAAUAAGGUAAUUCCAAAUGCUGCUAGUUCUCAGCUCCCACGUCUUCAGAGUCUGUCCUUCCAGAUGUCCAGUCCACUCGUCCAGCAGCAGUCAACCAAACACCAUUAGGCUGGUUCUGGGCAGCACAUGGGCAAACAGGACUGCAGUAGCAGUGUUUAGAUCAUGUAGUAGCUUUCACGAUAGUAAGAAUCCUCCUCAGAGUCCUCACUGUCACAGCUGCUCAUCGACAAGAUGGAGUAGAUGGAAGAAAUUACACUGCUGUCAUUGUCUGUGGCUGGUUUCACCAACACAUUCUGUUUCUCUGCAUUCAAAACACACAAAUGCAAAAGUUAGCGGUGACCACUGUACCCACAAAUGCUACAUUACUAGUUCUCUUUGAAACUUACAGCCCUUCACUGUCAGUUUUCAAUAGGUCUUUGAAGCUGCAGGGCACAGGCCUUUUUCUUUUCAAUUUUCAGCGUUAAAAGAACAAAGGGUUGGGGUUUUUGUUUGUUUGUUUUCUUAAGUUUCCUGUAUGUCUCUUCCUGUUACGAUAGCACAGAUGAGAAGGUGACAUUCUCCAUCCCUUUGCUGACACAUAACUGGCAAUGGAAGUGGCUAACUGUUACAGUACUUUGCCAGGUAAGAAAGAGGAAAGGAACAAAAUAUGGUAAGGAGCUCUCAAACAAGUAACGGUUAUUCAGGACACUUAUAGCCUCAUCAAAACCUCCAUACACUUAAGACUGCAAGCUUACCUACUGGUAUCCAUUCUACUAAGGCUCUUGGGAAGGGCUUCUUGGGAAGCUCUGACUGAGGUUCUCAAGUGCCAUUUUCAUCAUUACUUCUCUUUCAGCUGUUUUAUUCUUAGGAAUUCAUGUUUAAAUAGACACGUGGUUAUCUUCACCUCAAUCAAAAUGUUUCCAUCACUGAUUAAAAAGACUGCACAGAAACAAUUCACCCUUCCUCCUUAAGUGUGUAACGUGUGUCAUGGUGAAGCUAAAUGAUUUCCUAAUAGUCAUUUAUAUAAUUAGAGCAUCUAUCACUUAUGAUAGGCUACGAGCUUAUUUCCUUUUUGUUCAAACAAGCGUGAAGACCACGGGUUUACCAUACAGAAAUGAAGUGGGCUCCAACGAAGGCACCACUUCAUCUCAUCACCAUUAGCUACCUGAUGAGAUAUUUCAGUAGUGCUAUGGCAUACUCUGCAGCUGCACAUGUUACACAAGAGCAGUGUCAGUUCUGCAAAGGUUGAGAGCAAUUCACAAAGCCGAGCUGGGCAGCCUCUGUACAGCAUAGCCUUUCCUGAGGGAAUCAGACUGAGUUGGUUAAGUAAGUUAUGAUUUCAGGUUUGAACUAACACUGCUUAGUGACAUUGUUCUGUGUCACCAUGGAGAAUCGGGAACGUUUCAAAAGCACCUUUCAUUAGGUAAGAGGCUUGACACAUUGCAAAAUGAAGGAUCAUGCGCUCACCUCUAUGACGGGAAAACAAGACAAUUACUUAAGGGAACUCAGCAACAGAAAUUUAUUAAGGGGUAGUAGGAAAAGACUUCUACAUUUCAGCACCUAGAUACCAGUGUCAAGUGCUCUAGAAACAAAUUUGGAAAACUGAAGCAUAACAAGAACACCCCAUACCGGAGUUUUACCUAAUGCCAUGACUUGUCAGGCAGUCUUUUAGCUACAACUAGGCAAGAGAUCAUGCAUUUAAGCACAGUGGCUUUAAUGCCACAAAAAUUAACAUGGUAGAGCAACUGCCAGUUCAGCGAUACACUUACAUGACACACCAAUGUUCCCUUCAGAGAUUUACUGCACAUAUCUAGCACAUAAAAGAGAAUUCAGAGUUUCUCAUCAGGCACUGCUCUGCUGAGUUUUUGCAAUGAUGUAGUCAAUAGUUUAAUCAAAAGGUGCCUGGUAAUUUUUUCAAGGACCAUUCUGUAUAGUUUUGCUUUUAUUUAGUGAUCUCUUUGAAACAGCAUAACCCUUAACACAGUAAAAUUGUCCCACUUGACUGUGGAAUUCAUACCAAAGUCUUUUUCCAAACUUUUUAUUAAUUUUAUUUUACUGUAUAAUAAAGCGAGUUACACAACCUA
Non-coding RNA from Phalacrocorax carbo (great cormorant), 4457 nucleotides. NCBI's taxonomy places the organism in Eukaryota, Metazoa, Chordata, Aves, Suliformes, Phalacrocoracidae. The record is from RefSeq and is a predicted model, not a curated record.